GACAAAGAUCAUCUGGCGGAGCAUGUUGUGAGCUGAAACUUACUUGAUUAUAUUAUUCCAAUGUAUUCUACUUACGGCUUCCAUGAAGAUCAUUUUGAAAUAAUGGCCAAGGACUAAGAUUAAGAAGAAAAGAAAGAAUGAAAACUCUGGAGCCCAAAAGCCCCAAUGAAAGAAUUUAUAGCUUACCAGCAAAAAGCUUCUUCAAGUGAGACUGAAUAACUAAUGGAUUAGUGGACUGCCCCAAGAUUUCCAGAAGAUCAUCAUCCCCAAUGAAAUAGAAUCGAGGAAAUGCAGAACGUUUUUCCUGUUUAAAAAUAUAUAAUUCACUCUA
Anolis carolinensis (green anole) is the source of this 331-nucleotide long non-coding RNA. RefSeq lists it as uncharacterized. Lineage: Eukaryota; Metazoa; Chordata; Lepidosauria; Squamata; Anolidae. The transcript has 2 exons. The record is from RefSeq and is a predicted model, not a curated record.